This 2131-nucleotide long non-coding RNA is filed under the name Equus caballus (horse). RNAcentral's name for it is "lncRNA (ENSECAG00000056841.1)". The record is from RNAcentral. Lineage: Eukaryota; Metazoa; Chordata; Mammalia; Perissodactyla; Equidae.
GUCUGGCAAGACGACGGCACAGGUGUGGCGUUUCCCCACCAGGCGCGAGGCCCUCUGUUCCUGCUUUUUGGAGGUCAGCAGGUGGCUCUGGGAUGUGGCACAGAGAAGCCGAGGUGCCUCCUGGGGCGGUUGUUUAUCGAGCCCUCAUGAUGUGCCAGGCACCGCCUGGACGCCACAGCAAACUCUCUGCCCUCAAGGGGCCCACAUUCCCAGAUGAGACAGGAGCCGGGCAUUAACCCAACCGAGACGGCAUGGAAGAGGAGCUGACAGGGCUCAGCGUGGUGCAGUGACCCACCCAUGUCGACACAGGGAGGAGCAGGAGAGGCAAGGCCACAGUUCCAGGUGGGGAGCUACAAGAUGGGGAGCCCUCCUGCCUGGGUCCCUGAGAGACCGCUUGGAGCAGAGCAGCUGCCGUGAGAGGAACUUCCCCCGGGUGGAGCCGCCAAGGAGACCGUGGCCCUCAGGGCUGGGACGGUGCCAUUCCUAGGGCUGAGCCCUGGCUCUCUACCAGGCACGGAGUGAGUGAGUGGACGCCCCCCCUGCCCGGGAGCUGCAUCUGUUUGUUGAGCACCCGCUGCCCACCUGACUGGUCACAUACCCGCCACGCUGGGGAUCCACCUGUGCCGCCGUUGGCUCCUGCGGUCAUCACAUGUGCUUUUUCCCAACUUGGUGCUGCGACAUCAUCUGGAGUCGGCAGGAUGCAGAAUUAGGGUCUGGGAACCACAGCCAAAGGGGAAGAUGCGGGUGAGCAGACCUGGCUCUCUGUGCCAGGAUGGACAAGGGGAACCAGCCAGAGCACUGGCCUCACCGUGGCCACCAACCGCGGUCACCGAUUCUGCACAGUACCGGAACUUGAUUGGUCCAGCAAGUAUCGGCCGUGCACCUGUUGGGCGCCAAGCUGGUCGCCAGGGCCCCGGGAGGGAACAGCCUGCCUGCGCGGCCUCCCUGCCUGGCCUUGCUCUCUCCCAUGGCCUCCCAUCACCCUGGCUGCCUUCUGGAGCUGUAGAUGCUGUGUCCUGCAGGCCUGCCGUCUUCUGGAUCUUUUCCUUCCUGUCACCUGCCCUUCAGAGCUGACCCUAUUUCCUCCGCUUCUGGGAAUCCUUCUGUCUCCUUCUGCUCAGGAGAGUCUCCUUCCUCUGGGUACCAAUAGGCUUGAGUUUCUGGACUACCACAUCCAAAACUAAGCUCCCCCCCCCCAAACCUGCUCCUCCUCUUGGGUCUCGUCUCAGUGGGGCCCCUCCAGCCAAGCAGCCCCUUGAGCCAGACCUGGCCUCCUCCCUUGCCUCCUCUCUCAGCUCAUCCCCCAUCAACAGUCCAUCCAUCACCAAGUCCUGCCGGUUCUGCCUCCUCAGCAUCUCUCAGACCUGUCCACUCCCCUCCGUCCCCACUGCCACCGAGCUGAUCCAGGCCACCCUCAUCUCAGCUCCUGGCUGGUCUCUCAGCCCCUAACCUGCCCUCUAUUCUCCCCUUGGCAGCGGGGCGUCCUUCCACUGUGCACUCGCUCCAGGUGGCAGAAGUCCCCAUGGCUCCCGGCUGCCUCGGGUGCAGGGGAAGUCAGCUGUCAGUCUAACCGGGGUUCCCCUGAAAGUGAAUCUGGGAUAUUCUCCCUCCUUUGGUUUCUGCAGAUGGAUUGAGGCAUGGAUUCUUUGUAUUUAUUUUUCUGGGGACGCUGGGUAUCCUGAAUCUAUGAUUUGGUAUCUUUUAUCAGUUCUGGAAAAUUAUCAGCCACCAUCUCUUAAACAUGGUGUCUACCUGUUUUUCUCUCUUCUAGGGCUCUAAUUAAACUUGCUCUUUUCUACCCUCUCCUUUUCCCCAUCUUUGUGUCUCUCUGCAAUGCAUUCUGGAUAUUUUCUUUUGACUUAUUUUCUUUUGACCUAAUUCUUUCUUUGGCUGUAUUUACUCCAUUCUUAGACUCAUCCAUCGAGUGUUUUUAACGCUUUAUUAUUUUGGAAUGUAACACACAUGCAUGAAAUGCAUAAAUUGUAAAUAUACAGCUUUGCAGAAGAGUGAAAAACAAAUGUACAGUUUAAUAAAUGAUUAGAAACCAAACAUGUAUGGGACUAUUACUGACAGGUCAAGAAGUAAAGUCUCUGAGUUUUUUCUUUUAAAGAUUGACACCUGAGCUAACAUC